Non-coding RNA from Drosophila melanogaster (fruit fly), 495 nucleotides. The record is from Ensembl. Lineage: Eukaryota; Metazoa; Arthropoda; Insecta; Diptera; Drosophilidae.
CUUCACUUCACUCCACUCAACACACAAACCUUUGUUUUGGUAUAUUGGUGUCUGUGGUGGUGUUGCUGUGGUUUUUGGCUCUAAAGGUGGAGGCCGUGGAGGAGGCGGUGGAUGCCAGCGAAUGGAGCAACCGCUUAUGGAACGGCACAUUGUGACGCCGGGGAGUUGCCGCGGAAGAAUUGGAGGCGCUAGUGUUGCUCAGGGAACUGGAAUGAUGGGAUGAUGUGGCCGCCGUUGCCGGCAGCACAGGUGUUCCCGGUCGCUGCUGCUGCUGUUGCUGCAGAUGUUGCUGGUGGUAAUGCUGCUGCUGGUAGGACGACGACGACGACGACGACGACGAUGAUGAAGAUGAUGACGAGGACGACUUAUUGCCACUGCCACCGGUAACUGCUGCUCGCAGCGCAGGCGAUCCCAGCGGUUGCUGCGGUCGCUUGUUGUUGCUGAUGUUGCUAAUGCUGCUACUGCUGUUGCACUGGGCGCUGAAAUUUGUUUUUU